AGAGUUUGAUCCUGGCUCAGGAUGAACGCUAGCUACAGGCUUAACACAUGCAAGUCGAGGGGAAACGAUAUUGGAAGCUUGCUUCCGAUAGGCGUCGACCGGCGCACGGGUGAGUAACGCGUAUCCAACCUGCCCAUCACUUGGGAAUAACCUUGCGAAAGUAAGACUAAUGCCCAAUGACAUUUAUAGAAGGCAUCGGAAAUGAAUUAAAGAUUUAUUGGUGAUGGAUGGGGAUGCGUCUGAUUAGCUUGUUGGCGGGGUAACGGCCCACCAAGGCGACGAUCAGUAGGGGUUCUGAGAGGAAGGUCCCCCACAUUGGAACUGAGACACGGUCCAAACUCCUACGGGAGGCAGCAGUGAGGAAUAUUGGUCAAUGGGCGAGAGCCUGAACCAGCCAAGUAGCGUGCAGGAUGACGGCCCUAUGGGUUGUAAACUGCUUUUAUAGGGGAAUAAAGUGAGCCACGUGUGGUUUUUUGCAUGUACCCUAUGAAUAAGGACCGGCUAAUUCCGUGCCAGCAGCCGCGGUAAUACGGAAGGUCCGGGCGUUAUCCGGAUUUAUUGGGUUUAAAGGGAGCGUAGGCCGGAGAUUAAGCGUGUUGUGAAAUGUAGAUGCUCAACAUCUGCACUGCAGCGCGAACUGGUUUCCUUGAGUACGCAUAAAGUGGGCGGAAUUCGUGGUGUAGCGGUGAAAUGCUUAGAUAUCACGAAGAACUCCGAUUGCGAAGGCAGCUCACUGGGGCGCAACUGACGCUGAAGCUCGAAAGCGCGGGUAUCGAACAGGAUUAGAUACCCUGGUAGUCCGCGCGGUAAACGAUGGAUGCCCGCUGUUGGGCCAACUGGUUCAGCGGCCAAGCGGAAGCAUUAAGCAUCCCACCUGGGGAGUACGCCGGCAACGGUGAAACUCAAAGGAAUUGGCGGGGGCCCGCACAAGCGGAGGAACAUGUGGUUUAAUUCGACGCAACGCGAAGAACCUUACCAGGGCUUGACAUUGAGUGAAAGGACAAGAGAUUGUCCCCUCUCUUCGGAGACACGAAAACAGGUGGUGCAUGGCUGUCGUCAGCUCGUGUCGUGAGAUGUUGGGUUAAGUCCCGCAACGAGCGCAACCCUUAUCCUUUGUUGCCAGCACGUUAUGGUGGGAACUCAAAGGAGACUGCCGCGGACAACGCGGAGGAAGGCGGGGAUGACGUCAAGUCAUCAUGCCCCUUAUGUCCUGGGCUACACACGUACUACAAUGGGAUGGACAGAGAGCAGCGAAGCCGCGAGGCCAAGCGAACCCCAUAAACCAUCUCCCAGUUCGGAUUGCAGGCUGCAACCCGCCUGCAUGAAGUUGGAAUCGCUAGUAAUCGCAGGUCAGCAUACUGCGGUGAAUACGUUCCCGGGCCUUGUACACACCGCCCGUCACACCACGGAAGUCAUUCACACCCGAAGCCGGCAGGCUAACCUUUUGGAGGCAGCCGUCUAAGGUGGGGGCGAUGACUGGGGUGAAGUCGUAACAAGGUA
Molecule: ribosomal RNA, 1500 nt
Filed under: metagenome
Description: bacterial SSU rRNA
Rfam family: Bacterial small subunit ribosomal RNA
Source: RNAcentral